This 425-nucleotide ribosomal RNA is filed under the name uncultured bacterium. Its description in RNAcentral is "partial 16S ribosomal RNA". It matches the Rfam family "Bacterial small subunit ribosomal RNA", at positions 354 to 796 of the family's 1533-position model. The record is from RNAcentral.
GUUAGGAAUAUUGGACAAUGGGCGAAAGCCUGAUCCAGCCAUGCCGCGUGAACGAUGAAGGCCUUCGGGUUGUAAAGUUCUUUAGCCGAUGAUUAUAAUGACUGUAGUCGGAAAAUAAGCCCCGGCUAACUUCGUGCCAGCAGCCGCGGUAAUACGAAGGGGGCGAGCGUUAUGCGGAAUCACUGGGCGUAAAGCGUGCGUAGGCGGUUUUGUAAGUUAGGAGUGAAAGCCCAGGGCUCAACCUUGGAAUUGCUCUUAAAACUGCAAGGCUCGAAUCUCGGAGAGGAUAGCGGAAUUUCCAGUGUAGCAGUGAAAUGCGUAGAUAUUGGAAGGAACACCAGUGGCGUAAGCGGCUAUCUGGACGAGUAUUGACGCUGAGGCACGAAAGCGUGGGGAUCAAACAGGAUUAGAAACCCGAGUAGUCC